GUUUGAUCCUGGCUCAGAACGAACGCUGGCGGCGUGGAUAAGACAUGCAAGUCGAACGAGAGAAUUGCUAGCUUGCUAAUAAUUCUCUAGUGGCGCACGGGUGAGUAACACGUGAGUAACCUGCCCCCGAGAGCGGGAUAGCCCUGGGAAACUGGGAUUAAUACCGCAUAGUAUCGAAAGAUUAAAGCAGCAAUGCGCUUGGGGAUGGGCUCGCGGCCUAUUAGUUAGUUGGUGAGGUAACGGCUCACCAAGGCGAUGACGGGUAGCCGGUCUGAGAGGAUGUCCGGCCACACUGGAACUGAGACACGGUCCAGACACCUACGGGUGGCAGCAGUCGAGAAUCAUUCACAAUGGGGGAAACCCUGAUGGUGCGACGCCGCGUGGGGGAAUGAAAGUCUUCGGAUUGUAAACCCCUGUCAUGUGGGAGCAAAUUAAAAAGAUAGUACCACAAGAGGAAGAGACGGCUAACUCUGUGCCAGCAGCCGCGGUAAUACAGAGGUCUCAAGCGUUGUUCGGAAUCACUGGGCGUAAAGCGUGCGUAGGCUGUUUCGUAAGUCGUGUGUGAAAGGCGCGGGCUCAACCCGCGGACGGCACAUGAUACUGCGAGACUAGAGUAAUGGAGGGGGAACCGGAAUUCUCGGUGUAGCAGUGAAAUGCGUAGAUAUCGAGGGGAACACUCGUGGCGAAGGCGGGUUCCUGGACAUUAACUGACGCUGAGGCACGAAGGCCAGGGGAGCGAAAGGGAUUAGAUACCCCUGUAGUCCUGGCAGUAAACGGUGCACGCUUGGUGUGCGGGGAAUCGACCCCCUGCGUGCCGGAGCUAACGCGUUAAGCGUGCCGCCUGGGGAGUACGGUCGCAAGAUUAAAACUCAAAGAAAUUGACGGGGACCCGCACAAGCGGUGGAGUAUGUGGCUUAAUUCGAUGCAACGCGAAGAACCUUACCUGGGCUUGACAUGUAAUGAACAACAUGUGAAAGCAUGCGACUCUUCGGAGGCGUUACACAGGUGCUGCAUGGCCGUCGUCAGCUCGUGUCGUGAGAUGUUUGGUUAAGUCCAGCAACGAGCGCAACCCCUGUUGCCAGUUACCAGCACGUGAAGGUGGGGACUCUGGCGAGACUGCCCAGAUCAACUGGGAGGAAGGUGGGGACGACGUCAGGUCAGUAUGGCCCUUAUGCCCAGGGCUGCACACGUACUACAAUGCCCAGUACAGAGGGGGCCGAAGCCGCGAGGCGGAGGAAAUCCUAAAAACUGGGCCCAGUUCGGACUGUAGGCUGCAACCCGCCUACACGAAGCCGGAAUCGCUAGUAAUGGCGCAUCAGCUACGGCGCCGUGAAUACGUUCCCGGGUCUUGUACACACCGCCCGUCACAUCAUGGAAGCCGGUCGCACCCGAAGUAUCUGAAGCCAACCGCAAGGAGGCAGGGUCCUAAGGUGAGACUGGUAACUGGGAUGAAGUCGUAACAAGGUAACC
This 1470-nucleotide ribosomal RNA is filed under the name uncultured bacterium. RNAcentral describes it as "bacterial SSU rRNA". It matches the Rfam family "Bacterial small subunit ribosomal RNA". The record is from RNAcentral.